This 459-nucleotide ribosomal RNA is filed under the name uncultured bacterium. RNAcentral describes it as "partial 16S ribosomal RNA". It matches the Rfam family "Bacterial small subunit ribosomal RNA", at positions 338 to 795 of the family's 1533-position model. The record is from RNAcentral.
CCUACGGGAGGCAGCAGUGAGGAAUAUUGGUCAAUGGCCGAGAGUCUGAACCAGCCAAGUCGCGUGAAGGAAGACGGCCCUACGGGUUGUAAACCGCUUUUGUCGGGGAGCAAAUCGAGUCACGUGUAACGCGUUGAGAGUACCCGAAGAAAAAGCAUCGGCUAACUCCGUGCCAGCAGCCGCGGUAAUACGGAGGAUGCAAGCGUUAUCCGGAUUUAUUGGGUUUAAAGGGUGCGCAGGGGGACGGAGAAGUCAGCGGUCAAAUUGCGGGGCUCAACCCCGUACUGCCGUUGAAACUGGUUGCCUUGAGUGCGGUAGAAGUAUGCGGAAUGCGUGGUGUAGCGGUGAAAUGCAUAGAUAUCACGCAGAACUCCGAUUGCGAAGGCAGCAUACCGGAGUGCAACUGACGCUGAUGCACGAAAGCGUGGGUAUCGAACAGGAUUAGAUACCCUAGUAGUC